CCCCUCCCGGUCGACAAGGUAUAACAUCCCCAUGGACGGAAGGAAUCCCUUCCAGUCAAUGAGAUUGUUUUACCUCAUUGAUCGGAAGGGAUUCCUUCUGUCAAUGAGGAUGUUAUACCUUGUCGACCGGAAGGAN
This 136-nucleotide microRNA precursor is filed under the name Puccinia graminis f. sp. tritici CRL 75-36-700-3. Its description in RNAcentral is "microRNA MIR807". Lineage: Eukaryota; Fungi; Basidiomycota; Pucciniomycetes; Pucciniales; Pucciniaceae. The record is from RNAcentral.